CAGUCUGGGGUUCAGAGGGGACGUGUGGACACUGGCUCAACUAAAAGCCCGGAGCUUCACAUACUCUACCUUUGCAGCCUCCAGCCUAUUCCUUAUGAAUCCCCGUGGUAACGAACGUGCCUCGCGCGCAGGCCCUGUCUUAAACCCCGUCGCCGCUCCGCCGCCCGCGGAGGCUAGAUUCCCGUCCGUCACACGGAGGGAAGGGGCGGUGCCUUGCGUCUCUCGCGUUAAGGCGGGGCCAAGCAGGAGCCGAGUGUGGACGUUCGCCGCGGGCGGGGGCUGGGGUAGCUGGGAGACUGGUGUCUCACCUAGCGCGAGGCCCUGUCCCUCACUGUUCCCGUCCUUCUCCCUGUGGUAGCCGAUGCUGAGUGGGCAGCUGGUCGGACGCUUCUUCUCCAUGGCCGGCCGCGUCUGUCUGUCCCGGAGCAGCGCGGGAUCGGAGACCGUCGGUCCCGUUGAGGCCGCCAUUCGCGCGAAGUUGGAGCAGGCCUUGAACCCCGAGGUGCUGGAGCUGCGUAACGAGAGCGGCGGCCACGCGGUCCCACCAGGCAGUGAGACCCAUUUCCGCGUGGCAGUGGUGAGCUCGCGCUUUGAGGGACUGAGUCCCCUCCAAAGGCAUCGGCUGGUCCACGCGGCGCUGUCGGAAGAGCUGGCUGGGCCAGUCCACGCGCUGGCCAUACAAGCGUGGACCCCUGCCCAGUGGAGGGAGAACCCUCAACUGGACACGAGCCCCCCCUGCCUGGGCGGGAGCAAGAAAACUCGAGGAACUCCUUGAAUCCUGAGAGAGAGGGAGAACCAGGAUCCAAAUGGGUUGGGGUGGCUGUACCAUUCUGCCGUCCCAUCAACAAUGUGCAAGGGUUCCAGUUUCUCCACAUUUUGCCAACACUUUUUUUUGAUAAUCGCUAUCCUGACAAGUGUGAGGACAGGAAGAAGCAGGAGACACAGGACAUGACGCUGGAGCCAGCUAGAGCCGGGGAAGGAGGAGGCAGCAUGAGCCUGGCCACGGGGGAAACCAUCCGCAGCCCACCCUGCCCUGUCAGCCAGCGUUGAGAUGAGACUCUCCUCUUGCCAAGAGGGCUUCUGCACUGGACUGGCCUAUAGAGAGGAUUGCUAACCUCGAAAUCACCUUGCAACAGUGCUCAAGUGGAGGAGGAACUAACUAGACCAGGAUGAAAAGAUGACAUCUAGGUAAACAGCUGACCCAAGACACCAGACCAGGCCUGUAUACCAAUUACUUUGACAAUCACUCACACCUUUGCUUAUGAACUAAAUGUAUCUCACAACCUUAUGCAAAGUUAAAGUUAAUCCAAUUGUUAAGUUUAUGGUCAGUUACCUAUGUCUAGUACUUCUGGGUUACCUUGGUGGAUUUCUCUACUCUAAGGCUCUAAUUAGAUGGCCCUUAAAAAAAUUUAGAGGAAAGAAAUUAUAGUUCAGGCCACUUUGACAUUAUUAGGUGGGAUCCCCUCACCUGGUCAAUUAAUAAUACCUGCUCUGAUCCUGACCAUGAAUAUGAAUUUUCUUCUAAAGUUUCUCAAGCUCAAUCAGAGCAACAAGCAAAAUUUCAGCCAAAGAAAAUAGCCUCCCACAAUUUAUAGGAUAAAGUUAUAUGAUUAACAUCAGGCUAUGGUCAUUUAAAGACUUCCUUAUGUUGGGAACAAUUAAGCCAUACUAACAACUAGCCUGAUUAAAAAAUUGGGCCAUUGCCCUAUGGACAAUGCCAAUAUGUAAUUUCCCUUAAAGAUGAAGAUGGGUACAAAACAGGCUAAGUCAGAUGCCCUGGGAAUGUACUGAGCUGCACCUAAUGAAAAUUCUUAACUUCUUCCUUCUGACCUUACUAUACUGCUAAUAUUAUUUGCUUAUUGCCUGUUUUACAAGAUUGCUGUUUCUCACAUUACCAAAUGUGUGACUGAGACUGAGCCUCCAAUAAAACGACGACUGGGCAAUGUGAAGCAGUUAACCAGAUACAUCGUUCUAUAGGAGAUGUGAUUACAAUGAUGUGACUAUGGGUGUGGGAAGAAACAAGAGGGCGUAUUUUCCUGGACCACAACAGACUAGUAAGACAGGUGGUCCAGAGACUUCUUACUACUGUUAAUAAGGCCUGUUUCAGUAAUAGCACAAUGAGUGGCCUAUCAACAAAAUUCUCACCCGGUCUAGGAACGAGCAUUCCCAGCACUGUGGGACAAAAUGGUCAUAAAAUACCUCCCAAGCCAUGGUCAAAUUUAUAACCACGAGGAGACCCUACCAACUAAAAUUGACACUUGCCGUCUGCCUCUACAGGGAUUAAGUCACAAGGCAGUUGCUGACCUUCAACACACCCUGAAAGGAAUUCAGGGUGGAAUUCAGGAAUAAGACACUCAGUGCUCUGAGAAAAUUUGGCAGAACAGGGAUUAAGAUAAUUAGAUGUUUUCAGGAGAAGAUUUUAUGAGCCCAAAUUCUUGCAUCUCCCCAUGUGUAGAAAAACACUAAAAUCAUGUAUAGUGACAUCUGCUUUAGCCAUUAAGGAGAAAAAGUUUAAAAGUCAGACUAGAAUAUAACUGUAGGUUAGACAUCUAAGGCAAAACUAGGUGGCCAUUACGGACAUGACUUCAGACAAGUUUCUGUCUUGCUGAGAACUUAAAUUUUCCGGACUGUAUCAGACUCAAGGACACCUCUAGCCACUCUCAAAGAAUCUGCAACCUUGUGGUUGCAAGUCUCCUUAGAUCUCACCACAAGCCAGGGAGGGACCUAUGUCUGUCUAAGGAAAGAAUGCUGUUUCUGUUACGAUUGAUCAGGCCAGGUACAAAAAGAUCAGAGGUCUAUUAGAACAAGCAGAAAACCCCAAAACACGUGGUAAAGCACUCAGCCGGCAAAUGCUGUGUCUUGCCUUGGUUAAUGCUCUUCCUAGGCCCUGCCAUAAUCGUCCUGUUGGCCCUAAUUUGGGGACUAUUUUUAACUCAAAUACUUUCCCACUUCAUUUCAAAUCAUCUCCAGCAGUUUCAAAAUAAGACUCUGCUACUACACGACUGGAAGCCUAUCCCAGGGUCACACUGUCUAGAUUUAGAUAAGGUAGAAAGAGACUUCAACUCAAUCAGACAUGCCAAUACCCCUUUUCAGCAGGAAGUAACGAUGGACGAUAAGAGACCUCCAUCCAUUUCCCCAAGAAAAUUCAUGAGUAUGAAGUGUCACGGGGGGGAGCUCAGAGAUUUCAUUAGGCAGGCUUACUGACCCUGACUAAUUAAUGACAAAGGAAAGAAAGUGCCAGUCUGUUUAAAAAACAAAAAAACAAAAAAACAAAACAGAUUGUUUCUCUUAUCCCACAGCUGGCUCCUUGGUUCCAAGGACGUAGCCAUACGACAAAGUAUUUAACACUCCACAAAUGCUGCAUCGGUCCCAAGGACAUACCCCAGUAUCUUUCUUUGUUCUCUUUUGCCCCCGCAGGCGCUUCUGUUUUAGAGUUCAGCUGCAUGAGAGGAAAGAGCCAGUAAUAGAAGGUGCCUGGCAGCACCAGAAUGAUAGUAACAUGGCAGAGCCUUCCAACAAAAGGCCCGGAGGCCCGAUGGGUGCUGGAGCUCUGUCAGCCGGCCACCUGGCUGACACUGCCCACUCAAGCUCUUUCUUUUUUGUCUUUUUCCCCUUCUUUCUCUGAGCAAUAAAGCAGCUCUUUUUCACUUUGUCCCUCCUCUGCCUGAGAAUUUUUUCUCAAUCAGCAGGCAAGGACCCCCACAUUUGGGAGGUGGGGGGACUUGCCCACCCAUUUGGUGGGCUUUUCAAUCUGCGGUCUCUAUCCGCUAGCACAUUAGCUUCCCCUGUGGCACAGCACUGGCUGUGAUUUUCCCUUCUGGGCCUAGCUUGGUCACCCAUCUGGCUUCCUCUCUGACGGGGUGUUGGUCGGGGCUCUCCCCUUUUGGAUGCAUGUGGCAUUGGUUGGGAAUCUCCCUUUGGGGGCUGGGGAACUGUGACCCUGAGAGAACAUUUUGAGCUGUUUUUUGCUUGAUAAUUAUUCACAGCAGAUGUUAUCAAAUUAAGUAUGGAUGAUCAGAGCUCUUCCAUCUUAUAGUCCCUUGGGGUAUUUUUGCAAAACUGGGAGUUCUUUAGAGAUGCUCCCAUAAAUGAAAGAAAAUGCUGUUUUUAUUGUAACAUCAUGUGGCCUCAAUACUUCCUGAGAUCUGAGAGCAAUGGCCCCUAGUGACUCAGCUGUUACAUCAAAGUGUGCUUUUGCGAUUGCUUUGGAUUUUACCUUAGUUGUCUAUGUGAGUGUCCCAGUAUCCGAGUCCAAAUCCUGUUCUCUCUUCCUGGUUUUGCUGAAAGUGAGGCAUGUGUAUAUAAGUGAACGAUGUGUCUGUUGCCUAUUACUGUUAUUUCUUUGAACUGAAGUGGGUAUUUGGGAACUGAAAAAGAAGUCCCUGAAAAUGGCCAAGAUGUUUGGGUUUUGUAAAAGCAGUUAAAGAAGAAAUUUGCAUUUCUCUUCCUGUGCCUUUGAGGUGUAGAUUAUCUACCUGGGCUCUCAAGGGGAAAAGAAAAAAAAUUUUUUUUAACGUAGGUGGAAAAACUGAGAUCUCUGGUUCUGUUUUUACGUAAAAAUUAACUUGUAAAUGAGCUCUGUUAAUUGACUUAGGAGUGUUUAAUUUGUAAAUGCUUACUUUUAAGUAUAAAAGAAGCUACAGAACAAAUUUCAGAUUCAUGUGAUCUAGGAUAUUAAACUUAGUUUAAGCUUGUUGGUAGAGUCCACAUAGACAUGUCUUCUAUUGUACCCAGGUUUCAUGAAGGCCAGUAAGUUUGUUUCUGUUGCAGUUUGUCAGCAGAAAGAAAAAAAUUAACUUGGUAUGAUGAAAUUCUUGUAAGCAAAUUAAAUGCAAAUUAGAUAAGAGCUUUUGGGUGAGUUCUUUAGAAAUAAUUAUUUUAGGAAUGUCUACUUAAAAAUGAUCUCUUCUAAUAUUUGGUAACUUGAAAUUUUAGAGUUGUGCUAAAUUAAGUUAAAUGAUGGAAGUUUGGCUAGGUCAUUUCCAAACAAAAUAAGAUACUGAAGCAUUAAUUACUGAAUGUUGGCUUCCCUUUACAGAGAAACUAAAGGUAUUUAGGAUUAUUGAUGAAUAUGUUUAGUAUCACCCUGAAAUAUUUUCUAUAAAAAGCACAUGUGUUUGGAAAAUUAUUGGUAUUUGCCUGCCAUCAUACAGAAUACUAAUGUAAAGGACAGCUCAUAAUUGCUUACUUGGCUUUUCACUCGAAAUUGAGAUUUUUAAUAGGUUGAGGAUUCUAAUUAAAACAUGGCAUUAAAGCUACUAAAAAUAAUAAACAUUUCAGUGUAUACAAUAGGAAAGUAAUGUUGUGGGAGAAUAGGGUCUUGGCUCCUGCAGGAAAGAAUUCAAGAGCAAGGCAUGUAAAGUGAAAGCAAGUUUAUUUAGAGAGAGAGACCCCACUCCAUGAAGUGUGACCCUCACUCAGAAGGGAAAACAGCUUAGGAGAUAGACUCCAUAGGCAGAACGUGGGCCAUCUCAGAAAGGUGAGAGGGAGAGCCUGAGAGGGGUGGGGCGUUUAGUUUAAAGUAAAAGUAGAUACACACUCCGUUGACAGAGUGCGGGCUGUCUCAGAAGGCAAGAGAGUGAACGCCCACGAGGUGCGGAGUUGUUAGGUUUUACGGGCUCCGUAACUUCACAGGCUAGUGAGUAGGAGGAUUAUUCCAACUACUUUGAGGCAGGGGCGAGGGUUUUCCAGAAACGCCCCCCUCUGCCCACUUUUUGACCUUUUAAGGCCAGCCUAGGAACUGUGGGUGCGCCAUGAGGCUCAAGGUCUACUGGAAGUCGAAUCUUCCGCCAUCUUGGUUCUAACCAGUUUGUUCUGUCCUCAGUUGCUGUAUCAUUCCUUCAAUGGUUGUGCCCUGCCCUCUUUCCUCCCACUUCAGUAGGACCUGUUUUGAGUUAAGAAAGGUAUGAGGUAUGGAAUUGCAUUUUGUUAAGGGAAAAUAAAAUGAUCUGGACCUAGAGCUGAUUGUUUCUAGAUGAGAAAAAAAUAAGGGACAAACUAAUAUGGAAACAGAAAGUUGUGGAAAGUUUGUAGAAAGGGAAUCCUAAAAAAGGAGUUCUGUGCAUUGGUGGGGCUGAGAUUAGAUUACACUUAAUAGGUAAGUGGAUUUUAUUAAAAUAGGCUGGUGUAGAACUAGAUUUGCUUCCUCUCUGUUAAGAGAACUUUACCUUUUUGAUAUUUUUAACAAAUUUCCUAUCGAACUUAAUAUUUUUCUUUCUUUUUUUUAAUGGAGGCAUGGGUUUUGAAUCUAGGGCUUCAUGCAUGGUAAGCAUACACUCUAUCACUGAGCUAUUUCCCUCCCCCUUCAAAUUCUAAUUAACAUUCUUUUGACAUCAACUAACACUAGGAUGCUUCCAAGGGCCCCUGAAGCAUCUCAGAGAAAAAUGAUUUACUAGGAUUGGUUGGUGUGUUGGUUGGAGUUUCGGAUUACACACGAGGCAUUGUCAAAUGGUGGUAAGCCUCCUCAGAUUAUGCAGUGUGGAUAAAUGUUAUUAAUAUAGAUAUUCUAGAAAUUACAUAAAGUUUCUGAAACUUGGAUAUGUCCUGGUAUAAUGCUAUCAGUCAUAAUUCUGGUUGUUAUCUUGCAAUGCUGUCACAGCCACUUGAUUAAUCCUGUCAAAAACAUAAUCAGAUCUUUUACUUUGCCCUUUUAAAUCUUUUGUCAUUCAUAGACAGUCACGCUGAUGCUUUGCAAAACUGCUUCAUCUUCAAGAAAAUUCAUAAAGGGGAGGUAUAGUUUUCUUUUAAAUCAUAUUGCCGAGCUGGGUAAGAUAUUUUUAACUCUGAUUUCAUAAAACUGCUAGUAAAAAGCAUUAAUUACAUAGGACUGAGUGAAUUACAUAUAUAUGAGUGAACAUAUAUAUGUUAAUACCACAUCAAAAGUUAAAACCUACAUGUAUUUACAUGCAAUAUGUGUAUGUGCAGUCAAACUGUAAUAAUUCCACCUAAUGACACUGAAAAAGGAGGCGAAAAAAGUUAAAACCUACCCAGAUAAAAGCAGACAACUGGCCACCUGGCUGCAAGUCUCCUCCAGAGUGCCACGUGCAGACUGGCUUUCAGGCUUGUUCUCCUGAAUUCCUCAAGGGAAUGAGAUCUUAAUCACACAAGACUCAGAUCCAGGACCUGGAACUCAGGGAUUUUCAAUUCAGUGUCCAUUCCCCAGAUCGAGGUUGGACUAGACCAUGUCUCAGCAGGAAGUAGCCAGAGCAGUCGUCACCCCAUUCCCUGAGACUCGGGGUGUGGGGUGAAACAGGACUGGAGACUGAAACCGAGUUCUUCUGCUGAGUUUGUGAUGAACCUCUCUAUCCAAACUAUCACUCCUCUUCUUGUCCAACACCUGUUCUCAAGAUUGAGGAGUAUCAAAGAAAAGGGGGAACUGUAACUGAGCAGGACCCCUAGGAGCUCUCCCCGGGACAGGCCACCCCCCCGCCAAUAUCCUCUGAUUUAGCUCCUCUCUGAAGUACCUAGAUAAUUGUACCUGAUGCAUCUUUACUGAGUUUUUCAGAUGCUAAAACCACCAGCAAAUGGAAGAAAUGAACUACUUGAUCAUGAGCAUGUGGCCCCCAGACCUUCUGGCAUCUAAGGAUGGCUCACCCUCAACCAGAGAAUUGUGCACAGCUGUUCACAUACCCUGGGACCCCCCCCCCCCCGCCUCAGCUAGCCUUUAAAAAUGCUCAGCUGAAACCCUUCAGGGAGUUCACGGUUUUCUGGGACAUGAGCCAAUCAUUCUCCUUGCUCAGCUCAGCA
RNA transcript from Camelus dromedarius (Arabian camel), 7746 nucleotides. It is a transcript of the gene named bolA family member 1, with no coding region annotated. The record is from RefSeq and is a predicted model, not a curated record. Lineage: Eukaryota; Metazoa; Chordata; Mammalia; Artiodactyla; Camelidae. The transcript is spliced from 4 exons.